RNAcentral lists this ribosomal RNA (253 nucleotides) under uncultured bacterium. RNAcentral's name for it is "partial 16S ribosomal RNA". It matches the Rfam family "Bacterial small subunit ribosomal RNA", at positions 524 to 776 of the family's 1533-position model. The record is from RNAcentral.
UAGGAAAGGGGGGAGAGGGGUUCGGAAAGACUGGGCGUAAAGCGCACGUAGGCGGCCUUGUAAGUUGGGGGUGAAAUCCCGGAGCUCAACUCCGGAACUGCCUCCAAAACUACAAAGCUCGAGGAUGUGAGAGGAGAGUGGAAUUCCGAGUGUAGAGGUGAAAUUCGUAGAUAUUCGGAAGAACACCAGUGGCGAAGGCGACUCUCUGGCACAUUUCUGACGCUGAGGUGCGAAAGCGUGGGGAGCAAACAGG